Molecule: long non-coding RNA, 546 nt
Filed under: Olea europaea (common olive)
Lineage: Eukaryota; Viridiplantae; Streptophyta; Magnoliopsida; Lamiales; Oleaceae
Description: long non-coding RNA (OEUR_LNC014585)
Source: RNAcentral
GGCUUUGUUGCGGAAAUCUUCAAGAAAUCAAUCAUCUGGGCUCAAAAAAACCAACCAAACAAAUACCAUAGCCAGCUUGAAUGUGACCCAAAAACUCUUCCAACACCUUGGUUGCCACAAAUCCUCUCAACACUACAAAGGAGAAGACGGUGGAGGGAUUAGCAAUAGUAGGAAGAAGAAGAAACAGCAAUGGUAGAAAUCUCUCCCAAUUCCUCCCAAGUUGUCUACCCUCCCUCUCUCAUUUUCUUUCCACUCUCUUGCACAACACAUACCCACACAUGACUACACGUAAGGUUGGAUAUAUAUGUGUGUGCAUGCGCGCGCAAACACAUUGGAUCGCUUAAAUGGGCAUAACUUAUCCUUAAAUAGGCUAAGAUGAAGUGGGCUAAGAAUAAUAUCAAACAAAUGGGGUAACAAUUAAUCUAAACCGAUAAUCUAAUAACCCAAUUAUUACUUGGACCAACCAUAAGUAUAUGUUUUUUCUAGGCCGAGCCAAGUCUAUAAUGUCGAUAAAUUAUCCAUUUGUUUUAAAUUAUCGCCCAAAUU